UAUAUAACACAUAUCAACAGGCUUAAAGAAGAACUUCUGCAAGAGCAAGAAAAGUACAGCGAAAGCAUAAAAGUGAACAGAAAACUUGAAUCAGCGAUUACUGAUUUGAAUUGCGCCAAUAAGGAAAGCGAAACUUUUAUAGAGAAUUUAAAAGAACGAUUUGAAGAUCUGAAGAGCAAAGAAGAGAGACUGGCGAGAAAAGUUGAAGAACUUGAAAAUAAUAGUGCAAAAGCAAAGGAUGCCGCGCUAAUAAAAGAAGAAGAAUAUGAAGAAAAAUAUAUGGAACUUAUCGGAAAAGUGAAAAGGCUUGAGAAACUUAAUAUUACUAUGAAAGCAAAAUUAAGAAGAGAGACGGGAGUUAAUAGGCAAAUUAAUAAAGUUUCGUUAGGCAGAAGUGAAUUUAAUUCUACGACAGCGGAAGAGAAAUUCGAAUUUUAUAAUAAUAAGAGAUUCUACAGAGAAGCAAAUAAAGAAAAUUUAUCUAAAAAAAUUGAGAAUGCGCCUGUACAAUUAAAAUCAAAUUCAUCUUUAUUUUCGA
Zophobas morio is the source of this 538-nucleotide long non-coding RNA. RefSeq lists it as uncharacterized. The transcript has 3 exons. Lineage: Eukaryota; Metazoa; Arthropoda; Insecta; Coleoptera; Tenebrionidae. The record is from RefSeq and is a predicted model, not a curated record.